RNAcentral lists this ribosomal RNA (488 nucleotides) under uncultured bacterium. RNAcentral describes it as "partial 16S ribosomal RNA". It matches the Rfam family "Bacterial small subunit ribosomal RNA", at positions 355 to 860 of the family's 1533-position model. The record is from RNAcentral.
UGGGGAAUAUUGCACAAUGGGCGAAAGCCUGAUGCAGCAACGCCGCGUGAGUGAUGAAGGUCUUCGGAUUGUAAAGCUCUGUCUUUUGGGACGAUAAUGACGGUACCAAAGGAGGAAGCCACGGCUAACUACGUGCCAGCAGCCGCGGUAAUACGUAGGUGGCGAGCGUUGUCCGGAUUUACUGGGCGUAAAGGGUGCGUAGGCGGAUGUUUAAGUGAGAUGUGAAAUACCCGGGCUUAACUUGGGUGCUGCAUUUCAAACUGGAUAUCUAGAGUGCAGGAGAAGAGAAUGGAAUUCCUAGUGUAGCGGUGAAAUGCGUAGAGAUUAGGAAGAACACCAGUGGCGAAGGCGAUUCUCUGGACUGUAACUGACGCUGAGGCACGAAAGCGUGGGUAGCAAACAGGAUUAGAUACCCUGGUAGUCCACGCCGUAAACGAUGAGUACUAGGUGUAGGAGGUAUCGACCCCUUCUGUGCCGCAGUAAAACAC